Molecule: ribosomal RNA, 482 nt
Filed under: uncultured bacterium
Lineage: Bacteria
Description: partial 16S ribosomal RNA
Rfam family: Bacterial small subunit ribosomal RNA
Source: RNAcentral
GAUGAACGCUAGCGGCAGGCCUAAUACAUGCAAGUCGGACGGGAUUCAGGAGCUUGCUUCUGAUGAGAGUGGCGCACGGGUGCGUAACACGUAUGUAACCUACCUUUAUCAGGGGGAUAGCCUCUCGAAAGAGAGAUUAAGCCCGCAUAAAAUCACAGCACAGCAUUGUGUAAUGAUCAAAUAUUUAUAGGAUAAAGAUGGGCAUGCGGAACAUUAGCUAGAUGGCGCGGUAACGGCCCACCAUGGCGACGAUGUUUAGGGGAUCUGAGAGGAUGGCCCCCCACACUGGUACCGAGACACGGACCAGACUCCUACGGGAGGCAGCAGUAAGGAAUAUUGGUCAAUGGGCGGAAGCCUGAACCAGCCAUGCCGCGUGCAGGAAGACGGCCCUACGGGUUGUAAACUGCUUUUAUACGGGAAUAAACCCAGAUACGUGUAUCUGGCUGAAUGUACUGUAAGAAUAAGGAUCGGCUAACUCCGUG